Molecule: ribosomal RNA, 86 nt
Filed under: Bacillus subtilis
Lineage: Bacteria; Bacillati; Bacillota; Bacilli; Caryophanales; Bacillaceae
Also listed under: 1 other name
Source: RNAcentral
UUUGGUGGCGAUAGCGAAGAGGUCACACCCGUUCCCAUACCGAACACGGAAGUUAAGCUCUUCAGCGCCGAUGGUAGUCGGGGGUU